CGCCCCAUUGAAAGUUCAACAACAAGUUCACCCCUGCUUCGACGAGUGGUCCUCGUCAAAUAUUAUAUAGAUUUAUAUAGCCAACCCUAAAAGCGGAGUUCCAGUCAGUUUAUUGUCCAGCCCUUCAACUUCUAAAAAUUCCUAUGCACUGGCUCUCGAAGAGUUAACGAGAUGUGGAACGGAAGGAAGAUGUUCUCAAAACUUGCAAAGUGAUCAACAUAUCAAUAUGCGUGAAACAAUGUGCCAGGAUCGUACUUAGCAUCUCUUAUACCUUCUACGCUAGCCUCUAUGAAAUUCUAUCCUGGAAACUGGAGUUGCGGCAACAUCACGCCAAGUUGAGCAUACUACUCAAAUUACUUUGGAUACAUUGUGCGUGGUUAAAGAUGGCGGACAAAGGGGAAUGAAAUUUACCUGACAUAAUGAGCUUAAAGGGAAAAGAUUACUGAAGAAUCUCAGGUUUGGCGAAGCCUCUUGCUGACUGCAAAAUAGAGGCCCUUCUUUAUGCAUGCUGUGUAUCCCAGAAAGACAACAUUACCAAACAUACCUGUGAGACAAGCAGCAAAGAAAAUUUAAUUGUAGAAACUUGAAAAGAGACAACUACACCUGUUGCAGCAAAGUUCAGAGACAAAAAAUGCUACAGGAGACCCACUCACUUUUUGUCUGGGAUGAAAAAUGUAGUGAGGAGACUUAUGAGCUUGUGGAAACUUAAAAGAUUACUACUAAUACAAAAUAUAUGAUACUUACAUGGCAUACUGAGUAUGUUGUGUCCUGUGUACAUUUCAUUUAAAUAAUGAGAUUGUAUUUGAAAACUGAAAUAGAAGCUAAAAUGCUGGGCAGUUGAACCCAUGAAGCACAGAAAGAUCAGUCAUUAAAAAGAGUACUGGGCAUAUGAUCAUAAAAAAGUCAAGUUUUAUCUUAGUUUGAUGGCUUGUUAUUGAACCUGUGCAUUCUAAUUAUGUCACUUGCUAACUGUAAUCUGAAAUCCACAAGUUGUAAUAUUUCUGCCUCAGUGUCCCCAUCUUCUGUCCCUGAGAUGUCAAAAUGGCAGUUGCACUGUGUGAUGCUGAUAAGGAUUUGUUAUAUCCUAUUGUGGCUCCCUUUUCUAAGCUUUUGGAAAGAUUAUCUAAUAAACU
Pocillopora verrucosa is the source of this 1133-nucleotide non-coding RNA. Lineage: Eukaryota; Metazoa; Cnidaria; Anthozoa; Scleractinia; Pocilloporidae. The record is from RefSeq and is a predicted model, not a curated record.